This 86-nucleotide small nucleolar RNA is filed under the name Aspergillus calidoustus. The record is from RNAcentral. Lineage: Eukaryota; Fungi; Ascomycota; Eurotiomycetes; Eurotiales; Aspergillaceae.
GUUUUGUGAUGAGACAAAAUUUUUUUCAGUUCUGCUUCUGCAAACACCUUGAAGAAAAACAAAUACCUUACCAAACCUUCUGAUCC